RNAcentral lists this ribosomal RNA (274 nucleotides) under uncultured bacterium. Its description in RNAcentral is "partial 16S ribosomal RNA". It matches the Rfam family "Bacterial small subunit ribosomal RNA", at positions 523 to 796 of the family's 1533-position model. The record is from RNAcentral.
AUACGGAGGGUGCAAGCGUUAAUCGGAAUUACUGGGCGUAAAGGGCGCGUAGGCGGUCUAUCAAGUCAGGUGUGAAAUCCCACGGCUCAACCGUGGAGGUGCAUCUGAAACUGAUAGACUCGAGUAUGGGAGAGGAAAGUGGAAUUCCCGGUGUAGAGGUGAAAUUCGUAGAUAUCGGGAGGAACACCAGUGGCGAAGGCGACUUUCUGGACCAAUACUGACGCUGAGGCGCGAAAGCGUGGGGAGCAAACAGGAUUAGAAACCCUUGUAGUCC